UACGUAGGGUGCAAGCGUUGUCCGGAAUUAUUGGGCGUAAAGAGCUCGUAGGCGGUUUGUCGCGUCGGCUGUGAAAACCUGGGGCUCAACCCCGGGCCUGCAGCCGAUACGGGCAAACUAGAAUUCGGUAGGGGAGACUGGAAUUCCUGGUGUAGCGGUGAAAUGCGCAGAUAUCAGGAGGAACACCGGUGGCGAAGGCGGGUCUCUGGGCCGAUACUGACACUGAGGUGCGAAAGCGUGGGGAGCAAACAGG
RNAcentral lists this ribosomal RNA (253 nucleotides) under uncultured bacterium. RNAcentral's name for it is "partial 16S ribosomal RNA". It matches the Rfam family "Bacterial small subunit ribosomal RNA", at positions 524 to 776 of the family's 1533-position model. The record is from RNAcentral.